AGACAUAUUCAUCCAAGUCAGGACCUGACAUGCAAAGGAAAAGAAGAUAGGAAAUUAAUAAAUUCCAUGACAUUCAAUAGACAUGGAUAGUUUUUUUCCUUUAUUAGUAUCAUGUGCAUACCCUUCUUUAAUGGCCAUAACACGCUGUCAAGAAAAUUUACUGAACGCCUCAAUGCGAUAGGAUAUGAGAUCAUAUAGCUCAGACAUUCCUAAACAUAUAAUUGACUACCUUGUGGUGGGAAAAAAAUUGUCAGCUUCAACUUCAAGGAAAACCUUAUCCUCCAGGAACAAUAAUGUAUUUCAAUAAUAUCAUGAUCCUAACCUUCAGAACUCAGGAAGUAACUUCUUUUCCGAUAUUUAUGUAAAAUCAGAAUUAGGGUUUUUUUCGGCUUGAUGCCAUUAUCAUUAUACAAUCCACACAAUGAAAACUUUUGCAUCUUAAUGAGACGAUUUAUGCUACCUAAGUGAGCAAAUGUGCAUGUAUACAUAGAUAUGGGUUUUCUUGCAACGCUUGCUAUAAAGUUUUCAAUGACUAAAUCAGGAGGAGGACCAUCAAAUAUGAAAUUAAAUAAUAUAACAGCCUGAUACUUCAUAAAUGUAGGUAAUUCAGCUAUUUUAUACUAGAUCCUCAAAGCAUCAACAGCAGGGGUAACUAAACCAAGCUAGCCAACACUGUAAAUUAAUGGACAGGUAAUAGUCACGGAGGCAACAUAAAGUUAUUGACGUCAGCAAAGGUGAAUCUAGGUGGGAAAAGUAAGCAAGACUAUAGAUG
RNAcentral lists this unclassified non-coding RNA (772 nucleotides) under Hevea brasiliensis (rubber tree). Lineage: Eukaryota; Viridiplantae; Streptophyta; Magnoliopsida; Malpighiales; Euphorbiaceae. The record is from RNAcentral.